UACGAAGGGGGCUAGCGUUGCUCGGAAUCACUGGGCGUAAAGCGCACGUAGGCGGCUUCUUAAGUCAGGGGUGAAAUCCUGGAGCUCAACUCCAGAACUGCCCUUGAUACUGAGGAGCUUGAGUCCGGGAGAGGUGAGUGGAACUGCGAGUGUAGAGGUGAAAUUCGUAGAUAUUCGCAAGAACACCAGUGGCGAAGGCGGCUCACUGGCCCGGUACUGACGCUGAGGUGCGAAAGCGUGGGGAGCAAACAGG
Molecule: ribosomal RNA, 253 nt
Filed under: uncultured bacterium
Lineage: Bacteria
Description: partial 16S ribosomal RNA
Rfam family: Bacterial small subunit ribosomal RNA
Source: RNAcentral